GCUCUGGUGCCAGGAGACUGAUCCUUCCUCUGUCCAGUGACCCAAGCACGGAGGCCCUUCAGCAUCCUUCUCAAAGGCCUCACCUUCCUCACUCUGCAGCACUCCUGGUGCCCAUCUUCAUAGAACGAGAAGAGGCCUUUGCUUCUAACAAGGGCCUGCACCUCCCCGGCAUCUGGGAACGUGUACUCGAUGUGGAUGUCGUAGUGUUUCUCUACAGCAUCAAAGAACCUGUAUGUCUCCGGAUUCAACCUCCCUGUGUCAAGGCUGAAGACCCUAAAUGGCCUGCCGGUUAACUUCGCAUACUCUAUCAGAGCGACAUCCUCUGCUCCACUGUUAGACAAAACUUCAAGUUAGUAAGUAUCCUGCCCUAAGCUUACAACUAUAAAGAAAGAAACCAUUAAG
This 402-nucleotide long non-coding RNA is filed under the name Musa acuminata (dwarf banana). RNAcentral's name for it is "long non-coding RNA (MACU_LNC000858)". The record is from RNAcentral. Lineage: Eukaryota; Viridiplantae; Streptophyta; Magnoliopsida; Zingiberales; Musaceae.